CCUACGGGAGGCAGCAGUGGGGAAUAUUGCGCAAUGGGGGAAACCCUGACGCAGCAACGCCGCGUGAGUGAGGAAGGACUUCGGUCUGUAAAGCUCUGUUAAUGUGGAAAAAUGGUAGUUGGUCUAAUAGGCCGAUUACUUGAUGGUACACAUAGAGGAAGCACCGGCUAACUUCGUGCCAGCAGCCGCGGUAAUACGAAGGGUGCAAGCGUUGUUCGGAUUUAUUGGGCGUAAAGCGCGCGUAGGCGGACCUGCAAGUCAGAUGUGAAAUCUCGGGGCUCAACCUCGAAACUGCGUCUGAAACUACAGGUCUAGAAUCUUGGAGGGGGAAGGGAAUUUCUCAUGUAGGGGUAAAAUCCGUAGAUAUGAGAAGGAACACCAGAGGCGAAGGCGCCUUCCUGGACAAGUAUUGACGCUGAGGCGCGAAAGCGUGGGGAUCAAACAGGAUUAGAUACCCUGGUAGUCCACGCUGUAAACGAUGAAUACUAGAUAUUGCAGGAUUUGACCCCAGCAGUGUCGUAGCUAACGCGUUAAGUAUUCCGCUGGAAGUCGGUCGCAAGACUAAAACGUUAAUGUAGUUAGUACGGCGUGAGACGUAGACCGACGGACGACGACGAGGGAGGAGG
RNAcentral lists this ribosomal RNA (626 nucleotides) under uncultured bacterium. RNAcentral's name for it is "bacterial SSU rRNA". It matches the Rfam family "Bacterial small subunit ribosomal RNA", at positions 338 to 1414 of the family's 1533-position model. The record is from RNAcentral.